Long non-coding RNA from Haliotis rubra (blacklip abalone), 192 nucleotides. RefSeq lists it as uncharacterized. The transcript has 3 exons. The record is from RefSeq and is a predicted model, not a curated record. NCBI's taxonomy places the organism in Eukaryota, Metazoa, Mollusca, Gastropoda, Lepetellida, Haliotidae.
UUCCGGGACAAGCCGGAUCAUCACAUUCAUGACCAACUCGUGUUAUUCCGGGACAAGCCGAAUAGCGACUCGUGCCAGUCUGGAAGGAUUUCAUGGUGACGCAUUAACAUCAAAACUACUAGUACUUUAAACAAGAACGAUAACUCUAUUCCUGUUUGAUUCCAAUGGUACUUCAUAAUAUCACCGAAGCCC